Molecule: ribosomal RNA, 492 nt
Filed under: uncultured bacterium
Lineage: Bacteria
Description: partial 16S ribosomal RNA
Rfam family: Bacterial small subunit ribosomal RNA
Source: RNAcentral
AGUGAACGCUGGCGGUAGGCCUAGCACAUGCAAGUCGAACGGCAGCACAGUAAGAGCUUGCUCUUACGGGUGGCGAGUGGCGGACGGGCGAGGAAUACAUCGGAAUCUACUUUUUCGUGGGGGAUAACGUAGGGAAACUUACGCUAAUACCGCAUACGACCUACGGGUGAAAGCAGGGGAUCUUCGGACCUUGCGCGAUUGAAUGAGCCGAUGUCGGAUUAGCUAGUUGGCGGGGUAAAGGCCCACCAAGGCGACGAUCCGUAGCUGGUCUGAGAGGAUGAUCAGCCACACUGGAACUGAGACACGGUCCAGACUCCUACGGGAGGCAGCAGUGGGGAAUAUUGGACAAUGGGCGCAAGCCUGAUCCAGCCAUACCGCGUGGGUGAAGAAGGCCUUCGGGUUGUAAAGCCCUUUUGUUGGGAAAGAAAAGCAGCAGGUUAAUACCCCGCUGUUCUGACGGUACCCAAAGAAUAAGCACCGGCUAACUUCGUG